UUCGCCAGGGCUAGAAGACUUUUCAGUUCUGCAACGCAACGGUCAUUUUGUUGUAUCAGUUUCCGAUCCAAGAUUUCAUCGGCCUCAAGCUCUAGGAUUUCUAAUGUCCUGUAUGCAUUAGUUGACUGAAAUCAGCAGUAGCCUUCUUGAUUUCUUCAAGAUUAUACUCAAUACCAUAACAACAUUUGGGUGAUCUUGGGUUGUUAACAGAUUGCUCGAUAUUACUUUCUUGAGUGCCCUCAGCAUUUUUGCUUCCCUCAGAAUCUUCUCCAUCUUGGGUUAACUGUGGUUCUCGGAUUAAUCACAGUGUAAUUGUUCACCACAGUCGCCUCUCUUCUUCUUGAACAGCAACAACACCAUUGCAAAAGACCAACGAAGAAAACAAAAAAGGCUCCAAAAACCAAUAUUGGGUAACCAACCUAUUGAAGUAACCCGUAAUUCCAACCUGCUUGUAUUAGUAUUGUUGUGGAUCAGUGGUAAAGAGGUUUUUCUGAAGAAUCGAAUUCUUGAAUAUUCAACAAAUGGUUCAUACAUUGAAGUUUGGUUGAAAGAAGACGAAGGUUCUUGUGGAGGUGAUGUAAUUCGAUGAACAUUGAAUGAUUUGCUUCAAUGGAGUAAACGAUUGGUAUGCAGAAGCAACUUAAUAACAAGAAAAUUGAAGCGUUGAGAGAAAGAUAGCUCAUUUUUUCUGAGAGAUUACUGGAAGAAGAUUGAGGAAGAAGAAGUUUUAGUGCCAGGGAGGGAGGAGGAAGAAGAAGAUUUAGUGCCAGGGAGGGAGUUCUGAAGUAAUAUUACUACUCCUAUUUGGUUUCACGAAAGAACUUUUUUUUCUAUUUGUAUAAAAAAACGUUAAAACGGGGAUACUGCUGGGUGUGUUCCGUAAAAUUCGUUUUUUUCGCUCUCUCUCAAAAGUCAAAACUAAUCCGGACCGGAGUGAAAGGGUUUCCAUUCACUCAGCUACUCAGUUCCACUUACAGCUGAAGAUUUGUAUCGGGUAGUAGAAGCCUAAUCAAUUUGAAGUUUGAACCUAAACUGCAACUAGAAGUAGUGAAAUGUUCCCGCAGCAAGUAAGGUAUUCAAGGUUUCAGGCUUAGAUUACCUUUUAUCUCUGUGAUUAAUUUUGUUUUUCUUUUUCAUUUUGGGAUUUUCUCAAAGUCUUGCUUCUUUCUGGACAAGUAUUUCUCUUAAAUGUUGGCAAUUAAUCACGUUGUAAUGAUUAUUCAGUGCGUUGCUUUGCUCAAGUUGGUCCUGAUUUCAAUAGGAAUACACGGCUCUAAGCCUCUUGAGCUCUAUGAAGACUAAUCUUAAUUACAUACUUCCCUGGCUUAGGUACUACUAUAAUCCCACUAUUAACCUUUCUUACUCUCAUUUCCGGAAAUUGGGUUUUGAUUUUCUGAUGGGGAAGUUGUGGCAUGUCUGACAUGAAUGGGAAUCGAACUGAAUUCUGAUGGGGAAGUCCCUACAAUCUAGGUAAUAGUAUCACAAUCAAACUGAAUCCAUUCUGAAGCAUAACUCAGGAUAUUUUUGACUAUUGAUGUCUCUAGUGGUCAACUAGAGAACAGUGAUUGUCUAGCGGAAUUCGCCUGUCGUGAAGGCAUUCUGGAGUUGUAACCAUACCAUGAGGAGAUCUCAGCUAAUUUUAUUUCGAUGAAACUGAUGCUGAAGAUAGCUAGCUUCACUAUGAGUCUGAGUGUAUCUCAUGAGAAGAAUUGUCUCACUAUGAAAAAUUUAAAAUGAUGAUUAAUAGAGUCAAAGAGGAUAAGUUGCACAGAUGUCAAAGGAUUGCGUGAGAAAGCUAUUUCCUUUAUGCCGUUUGCCUCCCCUGGAAGUAACAGAAUCAAUCUUGGUUGGGCGGCUGAAGGGGAUUGCUGCUGAUAACAAAUUAGAUGUAUGUUCGAAUGUCAUUGAGAAUGGUUGUGGGGUAUCUCGAAAUUUAUAGCAUUUUCGUGAAUGAGGUCGAAGCUGUUUAAUGUGCCUUCCAGUGCAUCUAUUUGUGCAGUCUUACAGAUAGAUGGAAUACAAUGGCGUCCAUUUUGUCAAAGCUUCCAAAACUCUAAGAUAGUGGCAUAAAUGUUGGUGGUCUAGAGAAAAGAGUACAAACUGUAGAAGGGCAUGUUGACGCAGGGAGACUCAUAGCAUUGAUUACCAGGUUCCAAAACCAAUUAAGUUCUUACUAGAAUCUCAGUCAGAUGCAAAGGGUGUAAUACAAAUUCUUCAUCUUAUUAUCUCUAAAUUUGACCACCAUCAACCUGGAAGAUCAGAUAACAAUUGGGCAAAAAUUUGGCGAGUUAUGCAAUGUUAUCAGAAAAAAGGCAUUUCCUUUUCUGGACUUGGAAUAUAUGCUGAUGGAAUUCUGUAGAGGACUGCUAAAAGUUGGGAAAUUUUCCCUUGCAAGGAACUAUUUGAAAGGAACCAGUAUAGUGUGUUUGGCAACAGAAAAGGCAGUUGUUAUCCAAGCUGGAAGGGAAUACUUCUUCUCAGCUUCUAGUCUUGCUUGCAUGUAAUCUGAAAAUGCAGCUUUCUAACUACUUCCUCCGUUUCUGGAAAAUAGAUACUAUCACUUUUUCAAUUUGGCCUAUUUUUAGGCUAAAAUGAAACAGUUAAAGUAUCUAUUUUCCGAAAACAGAGGUAAUAUAUCUUAUCGUUAUAUGGAUUCACCUUGAACUGAUUUUGCUUGUGUUCUAGUUUAUCUUUUUUAGUUAGUAGUUUAUAGCUGAAGAAAAGACAUGGGCCUGUUUGGUGCAAUAGCAAGGGGUUCCUUCCUUAAUAACAUGGAUGGUAGCUCAUGAAAGCAGCUUUAGGGUUUUCUUUGGCCGUUGCGACAAGGAGUGUAUUAGUGAGAUUCUUCUUGCAUGGAAAGAUUUGGAUAUGUGAAGUCAAUAUCAUACACUUGCAAAGUUAUAGGGUACUACUCUUUCAAAUGCGUCUAUUCAAGGUUCCUUAGUUCUGUCACUUCCAGUUCACAGCAAUCAAGAUACAGUGAGCAUAACCAACUGCUCAGCAGAAGCGGAAAAUGCUAAUGAUCAAGAAAUUCAUCUAUGAGAUAUCAAGAACGUUCUGCCCAGUAUUGCAAAAGAUUUAUCUGUUGAGAAUGGUAACAAAUGGGACUACUCUCUUCCGGGAAAUGGAAAAGUUUUGUCAUUUGCUGCUUUAUAACUGGUAUGGAUGAUUGAGUCGAGUAGGAAAGACGAGAAAAUGUUCUAAUGUCUCGACUUACCUUUUAGCUGGCUUUGGCUAUUCAUGGACCAUCCAAACAAAAUGGUCCAGUCAAAAUCCAAUCACAUUUAAAGUUUUUGUGGUAAAAGAUCACAUUUAAUCCAGUUAUAUUGUUUGAUCGGAUUGGAAGUGA
Molecule: long non-coding RNA, 3349 nt
Organism: Papaver somniferum (opium poppy)
Lineage: Eukaryota; Viridiplantae; Streptophyta; Magnoliopsida; Ranunculales; Papaveraceae
Exons: 3
Source: RefSeq, a predicted model, not a curated record